AUGGCCAAAGACUUGCUCUGGGAGUUGGCCCUGAUGGCCUGGCCUCUCCUCAAGGAGGAGGCCGCGGAGCUCGCCAAAAGCGUGCUCCGCGAGCUGGCGCGCGAGGAGGCCAAGACGCGGCUCAAGGCCGCCGUCAAGGCUGGGGCGGAGGGCCUCAAGGGGCUUCUCGAGGCGCCUCCAUCCACUCCGACUCCGGCGCGGCCGGACGAGGUGGCAGACCCGCGUCAGGGGGAGCUGCUGGUCGAUAGAGCGGCUGUCUGCAUCGACCACGCCCCGCUGCUGCUGCGUCGUCCACAGCUUCGCCAUCUCCCCCCCUUCGUCGACGACGUCGUCCUCGCCAGGGUGGCGCCCAGCCUCCUCGGUCGGCUCGGCCCCCAGAUGGAGCCGGCCGUUCAGGCGCUGCUGCGCGGCAAGGUGAUCGCCCCAGGGGUGCAGUCGGCUCUGCGCUCCGGCCUGGAGCUGCCACCCGCAGUCAGGCAGAUGCUCGCCGGCAAGUUCCAGACGAGCGGCGUGCAGUCGGCUCUGCGCUCCGGCCUGGAGCUGCCACCCGCAGUCAGGCAGAUGCUCGCCGGCAAGUUCCAGACGAGCGGCGUGCAGAGCCUCGACUGCUCCACGCUCCUCGCCUUCGCCGCCAGGGCCCGGGCUGACGGCCCUUCUUCUUCCAUCACAGCCGCGACAGCGGGUGCGGCUGCCCAGGCGCUCCCCAGCCUACAGGACAUCGUCGUGUGCGCGCCCGCGAUAGGGGUGAUCGCCCUCGCCCUGUACCUGAUCUGGAGGCGGCCGGGCGGCGGCGACUGA
RNAcentral lists this ribosomal RNA (798 nucleotides) under Triticum aestivum (bread wheat). RNAcentral's name for it is "partial small subunit ribosomal RNA". The record is from RNAcentral. Lineage: Eukaryota; Viridiplantae; Streptophyta; Magnoliopsida; Poales; Poaceae.